AUUGAACGCUGGCGGCAGGCCUAACACAUGCAAGUCGAGCGGAUGAAGGGAGCUUGCUCCUGGAUUCAGCGGCGGACGGGUGAGUAAUGCCUAGGAAUCUGCCUGGUAGUGGGGGAUAACGUCCGGAAACGGGCGCUAAUACCGCAUACGUCCUGAGGGAGAAAGUGGGGGAUCUUCGGACCUCACGCUAUCAGAUGAGCCUAGGUCGGAUUAGCUAGUUGGUGGGGUAAAGGCCUACCAAGGCGACGAUCCGUAACUGGUCUGAGAGGAUGAUCAGUCACACUGGAACUGAGACACGGUCCAGACUCCUACGGGAGGCAGCAGUGGGGAAUAUUGGACAAUGGGCGAAAGCCUGAUCCAGCCAUGCCGCGUGUGUGAAGAAUGUCUUCGGAUUGUAAAGCACUUUAAGUUGGGAGGAAGGGCAGUAAGUUAAUACCUUGCUGUUUUGACGUUACCAACAGAAUAAGCACCGGCUAACUUCGUG
RNAcentral lists this ribosomal RNA (484 nucleotides) under uncultured bacterium. Its description in RNAcentral is "partial 16S ribosomal RNA". It matches the Rfam family "Bacterial small subunit ribosomal RNA", at positions 30 to 507 of the family's 1533-position model. The record is from RNAcentral.